AUGGUUUGGCACCUCGAUGUCGGCUCGUCGCAUCCUGGGGCUGGAGUAGGUCCCAAGGGUUGGGCUGUUCGCCCAUUAAAGCGGCACGCGAGCUGGGUUUAGAACGUCGCGAGACAGUUCGGUCCCUAUCCGCUGCGCGCGUAGGAGAAUUGUGAGGGUCUGUCCCUAGUACGAGAGGACCGGGACGGACGGACCUCUGGUGUGCCAGUUGUCCCGCCAGGGGCACGGCUGGUUGGCUACGUUCGGUCGGGAUAACCGCUGAAAGCAUCUAAGCGGGAAGCCUUCCUCGAGAUGAGUUCUCCCACCCCAUGUGGGUGUAAGGCCCCCGGUAGACGACCGGGUUGAUAGGCCGGAGAUGGAAGCGCGGUAACGUGUGGAGUCGACCGGUACUAAUAGGCCGAGUGGCUUGAACACAC
Molecule: ribosomal RNA, 416 nt
Filed under: Actinomadura bangladeshensis
Lineage: Bacteria; Bacillati; Actinomycetota; Actinomycetes; Streptosporangiales; Thermomonosporaceae
Description: partial 23S ribosomal RNA
Rfam family: Bacterial large subunit ribosomal RNA
Source: RNAcentral